UACGUAGACCACGAGCGUUAUCCGGAUUUAUUGGGCGUAAAGCGUGUGUAGGAGGUGCGAUGCGUCCCUGGUUAAAGCCCACUGCCUAACGGUGGAGAUGCCCGGGAUACGAUCGCGCUGGAGGAGGUGAGAGGUGCAUGGAACUCACGGUGUAGGGGUGAAAUCCGUUGAUAUCGUGGGGAACACCAAAGGCGAAGGCAGUGCACUGGUACCUUCCUGACUCUGAGACACGAAAGCGUGGGGAGCAAAAAGG
RNAcentral lists this ribosomal RNA (253 nucleotides) under uncultured prokaryote. RNAcentral's name for it is "partial 16S ribosomal RNA". It matches the Rfam family "Bacterial small subunit ribosomal RNA", at positions 524 to 776 of the family's 1533-position model. The record is from RNAcentral.